RNAcentral lists this ribosomal RNA (253 nucleotides) under uncultured bacterium. Its description in RNAcentral is "partial 16S ribosomal RNA". It matches the Rfam family "Bacterial small subunit ribosomal RNA", at positions 524 to 776 of the family's 1533-position model. The record is from RNAcentral.
UACGGAGGGUGCAAGCGUUAUCCGGAUUCACUGGGUUUAAAGGGAGCGUAGGUGGGGUGGUAAGUCAGUGGUGAAAUCUCCGGGCUUAACUCGGAAACUGCCGUUGAUACUAUCAUUCUUGAAUAUUGUGGAGGUAAGCGGAAUAUGUCAUGUAGCGGUGAAAUGCUUAGAUAUGACAUAGAACACCAAUUGCGAAGGCAGCUGGCUACACAAAUAUUGACACUGAGGCACGAAAGCGUGGGGAUCAAACAGG